Molecule: long non-coding RNA, 1139 nt
Organism: Oncorhynchus gorbuscha (pink salmon)
Lineage: Eukaryota; Metazoa; Chordata; Actinopteri; Salmoniformes; Salmonidae
Exons: 2
Source: RefSeq, a predicted model, not a curated record
GCAGCUAGGGUAAGGUUUAGGGUUAGGCUUAGGUUUAGGGUUAGGAGCUAGGGUUAGGUUUAGGGUUAAGGUUAGGGUUAAGGUUAGGUUUAGGGUUAGGUUUAGGGUUAGGGUUAAGGUUAGGGAAAUAGGAUUUUGAAAUGGACCACAAGUUUAGUUAUACAAGACUGUGUGAACUGAAAUGGCAUGGACAGCAUUCUGUAUUACCUAGGUGUUAGGGUUAGACUGUAGGCUGUAUUACCUAGGUGGUAGGGUUAGACUGUAGGCUGUAUUACCUAGGUGUUAGGGUUAGACUGUAGGCUGUAUUACCUAGGUGUUAGGGUUAGACUGUAGUCUGUAUUACCUAGGUGUUAGGGUUAGACUGUAGUCUGUAUUACCUAGGUGUUAGGGUUAGACUGUAGUCUGUAUUACCUAGGUGUUAGGGUUAGACUGUAGGCUGUAUUACCUAGGUGGUAGGGUUAGGGUUAGUAUCCCAUUCUGUAUUACCUAGGUGUUAGGGUUAGUAUCCCAUUCUGUAUUACCUAGGUGUUAGGGUUAGUAUCCCAUUCUGUAUUACCUAGGUGUUAGGGUUAGUAACCCAGGCUGUAUUACCUAGGUGUUAGGGUUAGACUGUAGUCUGUAUUACCUAGGUGUUAGGGUUAGACUGUAGUCUGUAUUACCUAGGUGUUAGGGUUAGACUGUAGGCUGUAUUACCUAGGUGUUAGGGUUAGACUGUAGGCUGUAUUACCUAGGUGUUAGGGUUAGACUGUAGGCUGUAUUACCUAGGUGGUAGGGUUAGUAACCCAUUCUGUAUUACCUAGGUGGUAGGGUUAGUAACCCAUUCUGUAUUACCUAGGUGGUAGGGUUAGUAACCCAUUCUGUAUUACCUAGGUGGUAGGGUUAGUAACCCAUUCUGUAUUACCUAGGUGUCAAGACUUCCAUUUGAAUCUAUUGGUUCAAUUCAGACAUUCUCCACUGAGUUAUAUUGUUUUGUAAAUUCAAGACGAUUUGUAAAUUAAUGCAAAACAAAAUCAUAUCACAUUUGUAAACAUGCCGCUUCAAAUGUAAUUUCUUUUUUGUUACGAUACUGCAUUUACACUUUUUUUUCUUGUCUUUAUACUUUAUAAAGAAAUCUCAAUAAAAUGUGGAUAUCCAGUAAA